This is a long non-coding RNA of Hyaena hyaena (striped hyena), 1434 nucleotides long. RefSeq lists it as uncharacterized. The transcript has 3 exons. NCBI's taxonomy places the organism in Eukaryota, Metazoa, Chordata, Mammalia, Carnivora, Hyaenidae. The record is from RefSeq and is a predicted model, not a curated record.
GCUUUUCCUCUUUGUGGGCUCUCCCAGCUCUUGGCUCCAUCCCCACUGAUGGACAUGAUCCACUGGCCUGGAGUUUUGGUAGGAGGAGAGUAACUUGGGGAAUGGAGUUUCAAGAGUCAAGAAGUUUAAUGAACUCCAAACAGGAUAAAAUUAAAGAAACCACAUAUAGACCCAUCAGAAUCAAACUGGUGAAAAUUCAGGUGAAGAAAAACCUUUGAAAGCAGCUAGAGGAAAAACUACACUUUACAUAUAAAGGAACAAGAGUUCUAAUGACAGGAAAUUUUUCAUUAGAACCCUGAAGGUCCCGAAGACAGUGGAACAUCAUUUUUAAAGUGCUGAAAGAAAAGCACCAUCAACCCAGAAUUCUAUAGCCAGCAAAAAUAUCCUCCAGUCAAAGUCCCCGCAGGAGCUGAAUGGCACACCCAGACAAUGUGAUCGUGGAGAAUUUCAGGAAGGAGCUUUUCACAAAGGUGUGAGCUGUUGAUGGAAAUCAGCAUGGAGUGAUCAGGCACCUCAGGACCAAAGAUGGCUCAUCCCAGGACCUGAAGGACAAUGGGAGAGAGAGACAUCCCAGGUGAGGGGCUGUCCAACAGGAGCUCUGCCUCUUCUACAGACACUGCCUGACUGUGGGUGUGCACACAUAGAUGGACGAGCACACGCAUGUGCAUACCUGUGUGUGCACCUGUAGGAGGGAGACAAGCCCUCCAGCCUCCUUCUCCUGCUGCCCUAUGGCACCCCCUCCCCACACGCACACCAGUGCCUGCCAUUGGCCAAACCCAACUGAAAGCCUCCAGGGUUUCAGAGCAGGUCAUGGAAAGGUGGAGAGUGGGCUGCAGAUGGAGAGGAUCUGGUAUACACCGUCUCACUUAAUUUGCACAAUGAUCUGAGAAGGAUGGCUGUAACUAUUAACAUCUGGGGAUUAUAGACAAAAUAAAGCCUGAGAAGUUGACUCUUCCAGGAUCAACGGCUAUGCCAAGGAAUAAUUGGAUCUUUAUUGUCUAUAGGAGCAAGUAUUGUUGUUGUUGUUGUUGUUGUUGUUGUGUGUGUGUGUGUGUGUGUGAGCAGGGGUAGAUGGUGAGGACGAGGGACACACAGCAGGCUGGAGCCCUCAUUGGCCGCCUUGAAAGGGAACCCCUGGGAAAGCCAGGGGGCGCAUUAUGGAUCUAGGGUGGACAUUGUGUAUUAGGAUCUAGACACUGGGACUUGGAAGCAUGGAGAACACUAGGGCCCCAGGCCCAAGCAGAGGCGAUAGUGGUGUCAGGAGGAAUAGUGAGGUAGAGUGGGACUCUCAAACUUUCUGGUAUGAGGAGUCCUUCACACUCUUAAAAAGCAUCAAAAGCAGCAUUUCUUUAUGUGGGUUGUAUUUCUUAACGCAAUCUUUCCUGUAUUAGAAAUCAAAAAAGACAUUUAUUUUAAAGCACUUGUUGUCAGUGU